GACGAACGCUGGCGGCGUGCUUAACACAUGCAAGUCGAACGGAAAGGCCCUGCUUAUGUGGGGUGCUCGAGUGGCGAACGGGUGAGUAACACGUGAGUAACCUGCACUUGACUGUGGGAUAACUUCAGGAAACUGGGGCUAAUACCGGAUAGGAGCUCCUGCUGCAUGGUGGGGGUUGGAAAGUUUCGGCGGUUGGGGAUGGACUCGCGGCUUAUCAGCUUGUUGGUGGGGUAGUGGCUUACCAAGGCUUUGACGUGUAGCCGGCCUGAGAGGGUGACCGGCCCCAUUGGGCCUGAGCUACGGCCCAGCCUCCUCCGGGAGGCAGCGGUGCGGUAUAUUGCCCAGCGGGCGGAAGCCUGAUGCAGCACCGCCGCGUCCGGGAUGUCGGGCUUCGCUUUGGAUUCCGCUUUUGUCUGUGACGAGGCGUUAGUGACGGUAAUGGGUAAAGAAGCACCGGCUAACUACGUG
Molecule: ribosomal RNA, 468 nt
Filed under: uncultured bacterium
Lineage: Bacteria
Description: partial 16S ribosomal RNA
Rfam family: Bacterial small subunit ribosomal RNA
Source: RNAcentral